RNAcentral lists this non-coding RNA (23 nucleotides) under Arabidopsis thaliana (thale cress). The record is from RNAcentral. Lineage: Eukaryota; Viridiplantae; Streptophyta; Magnoliopsida; Brassicales; Brassicaceae.
CAUCCAUCCGACGUCUCUCCCAU